GACGAACGCUGGCGGCGUGCUUAACACAUGCAAGUCGAACGGGCCUGUCUUCUUUUUUGGGGGUGGGUUGAGUGGCGAACGGGUGAGUAUCACGUGAGUAACCUGCCCUUCGGUCCUGGAUAACCGCUUGAAAGGGCGGCUAAUACGGGGUGGUCCGGUUGGUCCGCAUGGGCUGGUCGGGAUAGAUUCACUGUUUUUGGUGUUUCGGCGGGGGAUGGGCUCGCGGCCUAUCAGCUUGUUGGUGGGGUGAUGGCCUACCAAGGCGGUGACGGGUAGCCGGCCGGAGAGGGUGGGCGGCCACACUGGGACUGAGAUACGGCCCAGACUCCUGCGGGAGGCAGCAGUGGGGGGGAUUGCACAAUGGGCGGAAGCCUGAUGCAGCGACGUCGCGUGAGGGAGGGAGGCCUUCGGGUUGUGAACCUCUGUUUCCGGUGGUGAAGGCCCUGUCCGUGUGGUGGGGUUGACGGUAGCCGGGGAUGAAGCGCCGGCUAACUACGUG
Molecule: ribosomal RNA, 499 nt
Filed under: uncultured bacterium
Lineage: Bacteria
Description: partial 16S ribosomal RNA
Rfam family: Bacterial small subunit ribosomal RNA
Source: RNAcentral